Hyla sarda is the source of this 1227-nucleotide long non-coding RNA. RefSeq lists it as uncharacterized. Lineage: Eukaryota; Metazoa; Chordata; Amphibia; Anura; Hylidae. The transcript is spliced from 4 exons. The record is from RefSeq and is a predicted model, not a curated record.
CAUCUCAAUGGAACUGAGCUGCAUUUCCACACAUGACCUGAGGACAGGGGUGGUGCUGUUUUUGGAAGAAAUUAUCUCUGUGUUUCUAUCCCUGUAUAUUACAGUGUUAGCAAAUAAAGCUUCAUCCAUCAUAUAAUAAAACUUUAUACAACUUUCCAAUAUUUCCAAUUUUACUCUAAGAUCUCUGCUUGCUGUCAUUCAAUAGGGACACUGUGUAAUUCCAUGAAAUAAAAAUCGGCCCUGAUCAUGUGAUGAUGACGUAGCUGUAAAGAAGGAGUCUUCUCUGCUAUGUUACUACAGAGGCUCUACUCCUUCCUUGAAAAGCAGCCAGAAAGCUAUUUCUAUGGCAGCUCCAAUAAGAGUAGAGGAUCACUAUACACAGACCUGGCUUUAGGCGAGUGCGUGUCCUCCAGCCUCAGCUCAGAAGGUGGACGUACACACUUUUCAUCCACUACGACACUUUUCUUUUAGUUCACAUUGGAUUUGCAAUAGGAAAUCCAUACCACAAACCCACAGUGAAUCCACCACAUCGGAACACUUACCGCUCCAUAGACCUGUAUGGAAGAGGCAUCGGCUAAAUGACACCGUACAUGUUAGCAUACAGCUGAAAUCCCAAUUCUACAGGCUUCUGAGGAUUUCUCACUGGAUCAAUAUAGGGAUUUACUCUGGUGAUUUGUACUGUGGGAAGUUUCAUCUUUAACCCCUUAAGGACCAGGCCCAUUUUAUUUUAGCAUUUUCUUUUUUUUCCUCCUCGCCUUCUAAAAAUCAUACCUCUUUUCUAUUUCCAUCCACUGACCCAUACGAGGGCUUGUUUUUUUUACAUCACCAAUUUUACUUUGUAAUGACAUCACUUAUUUUACCAUAAAAUGGACGGCACAAGCCAAAAAAUAUUAUUGAUGUGGAAAAAUUGAAAAGAAAACCGAAGUUUAGCAAAUUUUGGAAGGUUUUGUUCUCAUGCUGUACACUUUAUGGUAAAAACGACAUGUUUUCUUUAUUCUGUGGUUCAAUACGAUUAAAAAUGAUACCCAUGUUAUAUGCUUUUCUAUAAUUGUACCGCUUUAAAAAAAACUAUUUUAACAAAAUUAGUAUGUUGGAAAUUGCCCUAAUUUGACCACCUAUAAAUUUCAAAUUUUUCAGUAUAUGAGGUGAUAUGAGGGCUCAUUUCUUGCACCGUGAUCUGUAGUUUUUAUCGGUACCACUUUUGCUUAGGUUUUACUUUUUAUUCAU